AGCACUAGUAUCAUACUUACCCGAGAGGUUAAUCUUUUAGGCAUUGUCAUCCCCAACAUCUCAAAAGGACCAUCGCAUCUAGGCUAUAAUUUUGAUUUUCUUUGUGUAGGAAACCUUUCCUUUUUCAAGUGCAACCAAACUAAGUCUCCUAGUUGGAAGACAACACGCCUUCUACCCUUGUUGGCUUGGGCGGCAUUCUUUUCAUUCACCUUUUCAAUUCUCCGUUUUGCUUGCUCAUGAAUCUUCUUGACUAAUUCAACUUUCUUUUUUUCUAUCUAGACUAGCAAGCUCAUUAACAAGCAAAGGCAAUAAGUUCAAAGGAGUCAGAGUUAAAUCCAUACACAAUUUCAAAGGGGAAAAAUUGGUGGAAGAAUUCACAACUUUAUUAUGUAUAAAUUCAAUGAAUGGUAUGCAACCCAUCUAAGAUUUCAAGUUUUGUUUAACCA
Molecule: unclassified non-coding RNA, 446 nt
Filed under: Hevea brasiliensis (rubber tree)
Lineage: Eukaryota; Viridiplantae; Streptophyta; Magnoliopsida; Malpighiales; Euphorbiaceae
Source: RNAcentral